RNAcentral lists this ribosomal RNA (253 nucleotides) under uncultured bacterium. RNAcentral describes it as "partial 16S ribosomal RNA". It matches the Rfam family "Bacterial small subunit ribosomal RNA", at positions 524 to 776 of the family's 1533-position model. The record is from RNAcentral.
UACGUAGGGUGCGAGCGUUGUCCGGAAUUACUGGGCGGAAAGAGCUCGUAGGUGGUUUGUCGCGUUGUCCGUGAAAACUCACAACUCAAUUGUGGGCGUGCGGGCGAUACGGGCAGACUGGAGUACUGCAGGGGAGACUGGAAUUCCUGGUGUAGCGGUGGAAUGCGCAGAUAUCAGGAGGAACACCGGUGGCGAAGGCGGGUCUCUGGGCAGUAACUGACGCUGAAGAGCGAAAGCGUGGGGAGCGAACAGG